CUGACUGAGGCAGAGGUACAAAAGGCCAGCCCUCUUGCCCCGAAGCAGGGCUAAGUCUGUGCUGUGAUUAAUUCUCCAAAGCUUCCUGAUGGAUCAGGCGGAAGCCAGACUCCACGCGGAGAUAACAUCUUUGCUUAGCCCUUUCCCCUGCCCUACCCUGCUUCCCCCGCACUCCUUUCUCCUGAGAGUUUUCCCUCAAUAAUCAUAUCCCUUGAAUACCUGUCUUAGGCUCUACUGCUGGGGAGCCCCCCUAAGACACCCCUCAAUAGAGCAAUGGAGUCCCUUAGUAAAAUCUGUACUCCUUUACUUGGCAUUCAAGGCCCUCUAUGAUCAGAGCACCCACUUUCCUGCCUUGUCCGCCCCGUCCCCCUUCCCUUGUGCUGUGUUGGUGCAGAGCAUAGCAGAUGACUGAACUGCAUGCUGAAUCGGCAUAUGUUGCCUCAUUUCCCACCUCUGAGCCUUUUCUAUGCUCUUCCUCCCGCUGGGCCUCUCUUUGCUGCCUCCAUCCUCCAUGCACAUUGAAGCACUACCCACACUUCAAGUGAAACCUUCCUGCCCUCGAGCCAGAAGCCCCGUCUCCCUCCUUUGAUCUCCCAGAGCACCUCCUGUGUCUCUCUGAUAACACGAAUCACCUUCUGCUUGGUAACUGUAGGGUAACACCAAGUUCAACGGCACUAUUUCUGUCUCAGUUGAGGCCCCAAAGCCAGCAGGUGCCAACCAGUCCACAUCCAAAGUGAGGCGCAAGACCACCCUAGCAGGACUUACAAAGGAGGUGGCCCAGAGCUGGAACUCCCUGCCGACCCUUCACCCCCAGGCCAUCAGUGAAGCUAUUGAGCUGCUCAUCAAUCAUCUGUAACUGGGGACAGACAGACAGACGGUCGACCUGCGGAGCCAGGAGGAAGGAGUUCUUCUCAGUGACUUUUCAGAGGCACAGCACCCCCAGAGGAUCACAGAGCAGCCUGGAGGGCGUGCCACGCUCAAAGGCCCAAAGUCCUUCUCUCCAGCUUCGAGGGCAGGACAGUGAUGUUCAGGCCUCAGUUUCCCCUAGUACAGCUCUACCCCGACUUGGGCCAGCUGAAUGGGCUGCAGCUUCCUGCUAGUAGUGUUGACGCCUCAAGGAUCCUGUUUCCCCCAUCAGGCUGGCAAUCCUCUGAGGACGAGAACUUUGUCUUCUCUCUCGUUUCCUGUCUUUUCCUCACUCUAUCUGGAAUUCCCAGCUAAGAACUAUGAUCCAGAAACAACACUGCACUGGGAGUCACUGAACAAAUGUGUUAUGUUGAGUGAGCCAUGUCUUCUGGCACAAUCUGUCUUCUGGCAGAGUCUAUUUCCACUGUGGUGGAGUGAAGAGAACAGAGGUUUGCAAGCUAGAUCGGUGUCCCAUUUCAGCUCUACCACAGGCUAGCUGAGUAACCUUAGGAAAAUGUCUUAACCUCUCUGAGAUUCCAUUUCCUCAAAUGCAAAUGGAUUAUCAUAAAACCUACCUUAUGGGGUUGAUGGGAGAAUUAAAUGAGUUAACACAGAGCCAGAACUUAGAGAUACUUAAGACACAAUGCUUUCCUCUCUCCCUCCCUCCUUUCCUCUUUUCCUUUUGUCUCUGACUAUCUUGAAUUCACAGCCCUUUCCAUGGACUCUGGCCACUUUGCUGAUGGGGAAGUGAGAGAGUGGACCCCUGGGGACAAAAGAACCCUAUUGUUGGUGCUGGGUGGAUCCCUGAGUGGGGAGAGCUGGGGUGUGUGCUGAGUGGGGAUGUACCCUUGGGUGGGUGAGGCAGGGCAUUCCUGAUCGGCACAUCUUCCAUGAGGAUAAACUGGAAUGUGACACUGUAACUGUCAGACCCUGAGCGGCAGAACACGGAGGAGCCUAAAUAUUUCAUGGUCAAAUUCAUCAAUAAUGGAGAUGGAGACUAAAUUACAUAACUGUCACCUUUCUGUUAAAUAAUAUUUUCUGCAGGGGGCUGGGAGGGGGCCAUGGAGGCCUUUAUUGCAAGUCAUGAAUGAUUUAGGCCAGCAAAUAAAAGGGAUCAGAGAGAGAAGAAGGGAGAGGGAGUUUCCAGGAUCACCUAAUUCAUUGUCUGGGGCCGGCUGGAGGGAAUCUGAUGGUGUGAGGGUCUUGGGGAGAGGGGCCUGGGUACCCCUAUAGGACAGCUUUGGGGUUUGGGACAUACCCUCCAGAACAGGACAGGGUGAUUGAUGUGCUAACCUGAGUCUCGCUGUCAAGUUGUUCCUUUUACUUGGGAGAUGGACAGAAAGAAGCUCAGAGACACCCAGAAAUC
This 2272-nucleotide long non-coding RNA is filed under the name Equus caballus (horse). RNAcentral's name for it is "lncRNA (ENSECAG00000059341.1)". Lineage: Eukaryota; Metazoa; Chordata; Mammalia; Perissodactyla; Equidae. The record is from RNAcentral.